GUGGGGAAUAUUGGACAAUGGGCGAAAGCCUGAUCCAGCCAUGCCGCGUGUGUGAAGAAGGUCUUCGGAUUGUAAAGCACUUUAAGUUGGGAGGAAGGGCAGUAAGUUAAUACCUUGCUGUUUUGACGUUACCGACAGAAUAAGCACCGGCUAACUUCGUGCCAGCAGCCGCGGUAAUACGAAGGGUGCAAGCGUUAAUCGGAAUUACUGGGCGUAAAGCGCGCGUAGGUGGUUUUGUAAGUUGGAGGUGAAAACCCCGGGCUCAACCUGGGAACUGCCUCAAAAACUGCAUGACUGGAGUACGGUAGAGGGUAGUGGAAUUUCCUGUGUAGCGGUGAAAUGCGUAGAUAUAGGAAGGAACACCAGUGGCGAAGGCGACUACCUGGACUGAUACUGACACUGAGGUGCGAAAGCGUGGGGAGCAAACAGGAUUAGAAACCCGGGUAGUCC
This 450-nucleotide ribosomal RNA is filed under the name uncultured bacterium. RNAcentral's name for it is "partial 16S ribosomal RNA". It matches the Rfam family "Bacterial small subunit ribosomal RNA", at positions 354 to 796 of the family's 1533-position model. The record is from RNAcentral.